RNAcentral lists this long non-coding RNA (402 nucleotides) under Homo sapiens (human). RNAcentral describes it as "HSALNT0350847". The record is from RNAcentral. Lineage: Eukaryota; Metazoa; Chordata; Mammalia; Primates; Hominidae.
CUGGCAGCAGACUGGCUUCAGACUUCAGCUGCAACAUCAGCUCUUCCUUGGAUUUCCAGCCUACCUAACUACUCUGCAGAUUUUGAACUUGCCAGCCUCCACAAUCAUUCUUGCUAUGUCACCCAGGCUGGAGUGCAGUUGCGCCAUCUCGGAUCACCACAACCUCCACCUCCUGUGUUCAAGUGAUCUGCCUCAGCCUCCCAAGUAGCUGAGAUGACAGACUUCCCACUGGGUUCCAGCCGGCACACCCAACCUCUUCAGGACCUGAAAAUCGUCCUUGCAUGGGAAGACAAACUAAAGCCCACAUCACUGAAGGAUUUGUCAUGAUGAAAAAGAAAAUGAAUAAAAACAGAAUAUAUUUUAUAUUAGUAAUACCACAUACAUCUGAUGAUAGUAGUACAC